Molecule: ribosomal RNA, 495 nt
Filed under: uncultured bacterium
Lineage: Bacteria
Description: partial 16S ribosomal RNA
Rfam family: Bacterial small subunit ribosomal RNA
Source: RNAcentral
AUGAACGCUGGCGGCGUGCCUAAUACAUGCAAGUCGAGCGAACGGACGAGAAGCUUGCUUCUCUGAUGUUAGCGGCGGACGGGUGAGUAACACGUGGAUAACCCACCUAUAAGACUGGGAUAACUUCGGGAAACCGGAGCUAAUACCGGAUAAUAUUUUGAACCGCAUGGUUCAAAAGUGAAAGACGGUCUUGCUGUCACUUAUAGAUGGAUCCGCGCUGCAUUAGCUAGUUGGUAAGGUAACGGCUUACCAAGGCAACGAUGCAUAGCCGACCUGAGAGGGUGAUCGGCCACACUGGAACUGAGACACGGUCCAGACUCCUACGGGAGGCAGCAGUAGGGAAUCUUCCGCAAUGGGCGAAAGCCUGACGGAGCAACGCCGCGUGAGUGAUGAAGGUCUUCGGAUCGUAAAACUCUGUUAUUAGGGAAGAACAUAUGUGUAAGUAACUGUGCACAUCUUGACGGUACCUAAGCAGAAAGCCACGGCUAACUACGU